This 468-nucleotide ribosomal RNA is filed under the name uncultured bacterium. RNAcentral's name for it is "partial 16S ribosomal RNA". It matches the Rfam family "Bacterial small subunit ribosomal RNA", at positions 28 to 507 of the family's 1533-position model. The record is from RNAcentral.
GACGAACGCUGGCGGCGUGCUUAACACAUGCCAGUCGAACGGAAAGGCCCUGCUUUUGUGGGGUGCUCGAGUGGCGAACGGGUGAGUAACGCGUGAGUAACCUGCCCUUGACUUUGGGAUAACUUCAGGAAACUGGGGCUAAUACCGGAUAGGAGCUCCUGCUGCAUGGUGGGGGUUGGAAAGUUUCGGCGGUUGGGGAUGGACUCGCGGCUUAUCAGCUUGUUGGUGGGGUAGUGGCUUACCAAGGCUUUGAUGGGUAGCCGGCCUGAGAGGGUGACCGGCCACAUUGGGACUGAGAUACGGCCCAGACUCCUACGGGAGGCAGCAGUGGGGAAUAUUGCACAAUGGGCGGAAGCCUGAUGCAGCAACGCCGCGUGCGGGAUGACGGCCUUCGGGUUGUAAACCGCUUUCGCCUGUGACGAAGCGUGAGUGACGGUAAUGGGUAAAGAAGCACCGGCUAACUACGUG